GGGCGGUUAGCUCAGCUGGUUUAGAGCGUCUGCCUUACACGCAGAAGGUCACUGGUUCGAUCCCAGUACCGCCCA
RNAcentral lists this transfer RNA (75 nucleotides) under Candidatus Zixiibacteriota bacterium. RNAcentral's name for it is "tRNA-Val". It matches the Rfam family "tRNA". Rfam says of the family: Transfer RNA (tRNA) molecules are approximately 80 nucleotides in length. Their secondary structure includes four short double-helical elements and three loops (D, anti-codon, and T loops). Lineage: Bacteria; Pseudomonadati; Candidatus Zixiibacteriota. The record is from RNAcentral.